GACGAACGCUGGCGGCGUGCUUAACACAUGCAAGUCGAACGAUGAAGCCCAGCUUGCUGGGUGGAAGAGUGGCGAACGGGUGAGUAACACGUGAGUAACCUGCCCCUGACUCUGGGAUAAGCGCUAGAAAUGGCGUCUAAUACUGGAUAUGACCUAUCACCGCAUGGUGUGUAGGUGGAAAGAUUUAUCGGUUGGGGAUGGACUCGCGGCCUAUCAGCUUGUUGGUGAGGUAAUGGCUCACCAAGGCGACGACGGGUAGCCGGCCUGAGAGGGUGACCGGCCACACUGGGACUGAGACACGGCCCAGAGUCCUACGGGAGGCAGCAGUGGGGAAUAUUGCACAAUGGGCGCAAGCCUGAUGCAGCAACGCCGCGUGAGGGAUGACGGCCUUCGGGUUGUAAACCUCUUUUAGUAGGGAAGAAGCGCAAGUGACGGUACCUGCAGAAAAAGCACCGGCUAACUACGUGCCAGCCGCCGCGGUAA
RNAcentral lists this ribosomal RNA (483 nucleotides) under uncultured bacterium. RNAcentral's name for it is "partial 16S ribosomal RNA". It matches the Rfam family "Bacterial small subunit ribosomal RNA", at positions 28 to 523 of the family's 1533-position model. The record is from RNAcentral.